RNAcentral lists this ribosomal RNA (292 nucleotides) under uncultured bacterium. RNAcentral describes it as "partial 16S ribosomal RNA". The record is from RNAcentral.
GGACUACUGGGGUAUCUAAUCCUGUUUGCUCCCCACGCUCUCGCGCCUCAGUGUCAGUGUCAAUCCAGGUAGCCGCCUUCGCCACUGGUGUUCCUUCCGAUAUCUACGCAUUUCACCGCUACACCGGAAAUUCCACUACCCUCUAUUGCACUCCAGUUACCCAGUAUAAGAUGCAGUUCCCAGGUUAAGCCCGGGGAUUUCACAUCUCACUUAAGCAACCACCUACGCGCCCUUUACGCCCAGUAAAUCCGAUUAACGCUUGCACCCUCUGUAUUACCGCGGCUGCUGGCAC